This 253-nucleotide ribosomal RNA is filed under the name uncultured bacterium. RNAcentral's name for it is "partial 16S ribosomal RNA". It matches the Rfam family "Bacterial small subunit ribosomal RNA", at positions 524 to 776 of the family's 1533-position model. The record is from RNAcentral.
UACGUAGGGUGCGAGCGUUGUCCGGAAUUACUGGGCGUAAAGAGCUCGUAGGUGGUUUGUCGCGUUGUUCGUGAAAUCUCACGGCUUAACUGUGAGCGUGCGGGCGAUACGGGCAGACUAGAGUACUGCAGGGGAGACUGGAAUUCCUGGUGUAACGGUGGAAUGCGCAGAUAUCAGGAGGAACACCGGUGGCGAAGGCGGGUCUCUGGGCAGUAACUGACGCUGAGGAGCGAAAGCGUGGGGAGCGAACAGG